This 300-nucleotide ribosomal RNA is filed under the name uncultured bacterium. RNAcentral describes it as "bacterial SSU rRNA". It matches the Rfam family "Bacterial small subunit ribosomal RNA", at positions 399 to 691 of the family's 1533-position model. The record is from RNAcentral.
GCGUGUGUGAAGAAGGCCUUCGGGUUGUAAAGCACUUUCAGUAGGGAAGAAAAGCCUAGGGAUAAUACCCCUGGGUCUUGACGUCACCUACAGAAGAAGCACCGGCUAACUCUGUGCCAGCAGCCGCGGUAAUACAGAGGGUGCAAGCGUUAAUCGGAAUUACUGGGCGUAAAGCGCGCGUAGGCGGUUUGAUAAGUCGGGUGUGAAAGCCCCGGGCUUAACCUGGGAAUUGCAUUCGAUACUGUCAGGCUAGAGUAUGGUAGAGGGAGGCGGAAUUCCACAUGUAGCGGUGAAAUGCGU